UAAAUAUCAGUAAUGGUUGUGGCUUAGUUCUUCGUAUUGGAAUAAAUUUGUCACCAUUGCAAUAAACAAAUACUUAUCAGAUAAGUAGAUAAUAUUCAAAUAAAAUAAAAGAUGAAGUAUCCAUGUACAAUUAUAAAUGUUGGACUGAUUCUUUCUUUUGAUUAAUUUUUUGUUCCAUCUCCCUAGCUAUCCAUGUGCUUGUAGAAUUAAUUAAUUACUGGAAGACAGUUCUGUGGAGUAAGAUUGCAAAAGUCUGAAGUUACUGUAUCCUUGAAUGCGUCCCACUUGUAAGCAAAAAUUGAAUCACCUCCUAAUGUCAAAUAUAAGAGUAAGAUGUGUCACUACGAGUGUGACGACAGAUUGAUACAACAAACCGAGAACAGCAAACAAGAUGUUUUACCUACGUUUGCCUCUGCAAGUAUGGUUAUUGGGAUUUAUGGUCAGAUAUUGUAAACUUUUCCAAAAAAUUGACAAUCGGUCCUAAAAGGAGACAUUUUAUUUACAAUAAAAUGAAAAAUAAAAAUCAUAAAUGAAAGAUGCAAGGAUGUCAAGGAUUACAAAUUUGUGAAACAACAAGGAAAAUUAAAAGAAGAAUAGGAAGAGCAGUUUAAGUCUGACCUCAUCCAAAAUGUUGGAUGCCCCAUCAUGCUGUGAAUAUUUUUUUGGUGUUCUGUUAAAUUUACUGUAAAUAAUAUUCUAUUGUAAGAACGAUAAAAAUAUUCUAGCAAUAACUACAAUAGAGCGCUUAUACCUAAAAAUGUGAGUAUUGUCGAAUGUUUACGUAAACUUUCUUUCAAUUCUCUGUUAUGUCGUUUGCUUAUAUUGUUUGUUCUGUGUAAUUGUUUAUAUACGCAGAACGAACUGGUUUUAAAAUUGUUGAUCCAUGUUUGUAAUAAUUAAAAAAUGUUUCUAAAUAUGUACAUUUAUCAAAAAUAACUUUGGUGAUUAUAUUAAAACCUUCUUCUAUGUAUAAUUCGGGUAACAAUGCUAAAGAUAAUAAUUUUGUCGCAUUCCAUCCUAAUUCUUGUCUGUCACCCUUUAAAAUUUUAUAUAUUUUCGCAUUGCAUACUAACGUCUGUAAAAAGAAAGCAAUAUAAGGAAAAUUAAUAUGCAUUUCAUGUUUCUUAUUAUGUGCAUUGUUAUCUUUUAUUACUUGGUUAUAGUGGAAAAAGCAACCAAUGAUUUUUGUGUUGGGGAAUGCUUUUU
Molecule: long non-coding RNA, 1206 nt
Organism: Odontomachus brunneus
Lineage: Eukaryota; Metazoa; Arthropoda; Insecta; Hymenoptera; Formicidae
Exons: 3
Source: RefSeq, a predicted model, not a curated record